GAUGAACGCUAGCUACAGGCUUAACACAUGCAAGUCGCGGGGCAGCAUGGGGGUUGCUUGCAAUCCCCGAUGGCGACCGGCGCACGGGUGAGUAACGCGUAUCCAACCUGCCCUUCACCACGGGAUAACCCGGCGAAAGUCGGACUAAUACCGUAUGUUGUCCAUUGACGGCAUCCGAUUUGGACGAAAGGUGUGGCGGCGAAGGAUGGGGAUGCGUCCGAUUAGCUGGACGGCGGGGUGACGGCCCACCGUGGCGACGAUCGGUAGGGGUUCUGAGAGGAAGGUCCCCCACACUGGAACUGAGACACGGUCCAGACUCCUACGGGAGGCAGCAGUGAGGAAUAUUGGUCAAUGGGCGUAAGCCUGAACCAGCCAAGUAGCGUGCAGGAUGACGGCCCUAUGGGUUGUAAACUGCUUUUAUGCGGGGAUAAAGUGGCCCACGUGUGGGUUUUUGCAGGUACCGCAUGAAUAAGAACCGGCUAAUUCCGUG
This 490-nucleotide ribosomal RNA is filed under the name uncultured bacterium. Its description in RNAcentral is "partial 16S ribosomal RNA". It matches the Rfam family "Bacterial small subunit ribosomal RNA", at positions 28 to 507 of the family's 1533-position model. The record is from RNAcentral.